This 586-nucleotide unclassified non-coding RNA is filed under the name Hevea brasiliensis (rubber tree). Lineage: Eukaryota; Viridiplantae; Streptophyta; Magnoliopsida; Malpighiales; Euphorbiaceae. The record is from RNAcentral.
AUGCCCUUAUAAAGGCCAGCCCAACCCUCCGCUUGAAAGAUUCUUCGCAGAGCAUCAAGCAUAUUUCUGUAGUUCUCAACUCGCUCACCAUACUUUGGAUGCCUCUGUAGUCCUCGAAUCUGGAACCUUUUUUUGACCACAUCAAGAGGAUGACAGACAAGUUUGGCACAUGUUCCAGCAGCCAUCCACAGACAAAAAGCUGAAAGCUUGAAAGACUAUCAUCAAUAUUGGUUAAGCUUGUAUUAGAAAACCUGUGCCGGUUCCAGGCCAUGGUCCAACGUUUAAAAGUAUCAUAGGUGCCAAACUGAAGGCCAGCAUAAGGAACAAUCUCAACCAGUGUUGGCGAUAGUCCAUUAUAUAAGCCUCUAAAGCCACGAGUUCUGAUGAUAUCAACAAAUGCAGAUCUCAUUGUUGGAUAGACCUUCGGUUCACCUUGUGAAGCCAAUAUGGUUCUUAGAAGAUCAAAUGGAUAUGAUCCAACUGUAGCUGCACAUCCUGCUAAUGCCCCACUGACAUAAGAGAGGUACGGACUCAAGUGAAUGUGAUUCUCUGACUUUGAAGAACCAGCUGCAAAAGUUUUCAAUUU